UUGGGAGUAAGGGAUCACAUUCUUGCAGGAGGGUGGGUGAGAGGAGGUGUAGUCCAGAUAGUUAUGGGAGUCUUGGUCACAUUCUUGCAGGAGGGUGGGUAAAUAUUUCUCAACACAAAAGUUGGAUGCCUUCCAAAAUGCGGCAUAUCUAUGUUUUGAGAACAAGCCAAAACCUUUUUUUUUCCACAACAUGAUCUUUUCUGCAGUACUUUAAAAGAAAAUCAUUUUUUAAACUUUCAAUGAAAUAAGAUUUGAAAGACUUGAAUUGACGAUGCUUUCAGACUAUGUUUUAGGACAGUCUUCAGUCAAAUGUUAGGAAUGUUUUCCUUGCAACAGUCAUGAGAACUGUGUGAAUACAAUCCAAUUUUCACAGGGGCUUCUUUAACCAAAGUGGGGGAAAGGGACUUGUCAAUCUUUUCCAUAGCUAUGCUUAAGGGUCCUACCCCUUUACCCAUCCCUCCCACUUCCUGGGUGUCUUUACACACUAGCUCUGUCUCACUGCAUAGAAAUGGAACAGUGAGGGAUGCACACAGCUAUGCUCCCAAGGUUACCUGUCUUGUUUUGCAAGAUAGCAGUUCUUAGCUCUGUCUGUUCUCAGAUUUCUGCUUGGCAUGUUUUAAUUUUAGCUAAUUUAGGGGAGAGGUCUGGUUUAUGAUCCAUCUCAACAUCAAUAUUCAGUUUGUCUAGUCAUAACAUUGGGUCUACCUCCAGGUUUUUUCUUGUGUUGUAUGUAGCGGAAUGUAGAUAUUACAUUCCUGUUGCCAAUCAUUUUUACCCUUGCAGCUCAUUUACUAAUUCCUACAGCUUUUUAAGUUCUUUAUCCGAUUGUAAAGUGCACAGAUGGGUACCAUGGACUAACUUAUUCUGGACUGUUUCUAACUGAAUUGUUCCUUUCAUAACCUCUUUGAAAAGCCUGUCAAGGUCAGAAUCAUAGUUGCCAUUCGCAUAUUUCUAUAACUGCCAGUACAGCUCCCAUUACUGAUGGGUGUCAAGGUGGCUCAGUGGUUAGCACUGUUGCCUCACAGCGCCAGGGACCCGGGUUUGAUUCCAUCCUUGAGUGACUGUUUGUUUGUGUGGAGUUUGCACAUUCUUCCUGUGUCUGCAUGGAUUUCCUCUUGGUGCUCCAGUUUCUUCCCACAGUCCAAAAAUGUGGAGGUUAGGUGGAUUGGCCAUGAGAAAUGCAGGGUUACAGGGACAGGGUAGCAGGGUAGGUCUGGAUAUGAUGCUGUUCAGAGGGUCAGUGUAGACUCGAUGGGCCUGCUUACACUGUAGGGAUUCUAUUUUCCAUUAAAAUAUCCAUCAGUCACAAUCUAAUGUAUCCCAGUGCCAAUGUAACUUAAAGACUGCUGCUUCUCCCAGCUACUCAAAUGUAAAGCCAAGCAACCAAACUUCCGUGUAUCCCACUUCCCGACCUGAAACGUCAGCUUUCCUGCGCCUCUGAUGCUGCCUGACCUGCUGUGUUCCUCCAGCUCCACACUGUUAUCUCUGACUCCAGCAUCGGCAGUUCUUACUAUCUCUGAUGACAAUGUUGCUUUUAGGCGGUUCGCAGUCAUUACUACUUCAUAUAGGCAGUCAACAAUUUUUGUGGUAAUUUUCUGAUAGAUUAUUGAGUACCUCCAAAAAUGCAGGUUAACUUCAUGUUUAUUCAAACAACCUGAGCAAGAGAGUCUGUCUUAAGCUGGUAAAACAGAACUCUGUCUGAUACUUAGUCUGGCUCCACUCAGCUCUGUCCCAUUCUGUCCGAUCUCUAUGCUAUAAGUAUAGAAAUAUCAUCAACCUUUAUAUCCCCGCAAUCACAUACAUGUACAUGGUUUAUAUGUUAUUUUUGUACAAUAAACAGAAAUGUUCUUUCCUGGGUUUUUGCCUUAUCUUGUCUAUAAUACUCCCUCUAAUUUUCUUUUAUGGUGGGUGGAUCUCCUACUGAAACCUGAAGUCAACGCAUUGGCACUCCGAUCAGCGUGUGCAGAAAUUCAGAGGAACCUCAGAGCUGCCGCACGGUAUUGAGGGAAUGUUGGUUGUAACCUCGUUUUACAAACGUUAAUGAGGUGUCUAAGACCAAAGGGCAUAAGUUUGAGCACAUGGACUAUUGUGGUUCAAGAAGGCAGCUUAAUACCACCUUCUCAAGGGCAGCUAAGGACCGUAAUAAACGCUGGCAAUAUCCACAUCCCAUAAAUAAAUAAUAAAACAAAAUAAGCAGCCUAUGAUUGGAGGAGCAGCAAACAGUAUGUGAGAAAAAAUUGAAGUAUAGCUCUUCACAUGAAAAAGUUGGACCACAUGCUUAAGUUGACUGGAAGAAACAACUCCAAUAAUAUCUUUAAGAACCCAUUAGGCACUUUCAGCCUAACAAUACACUUGGUGCUGCAAGCAGAUUCUGGCUGGGAAAACAUGCCGUGUCCUACAAUGAUCCUCCAAUGAUGGGUUCGGCUGGGUUGGCGCCUCUGCAGUUUGGGGAAUUUGGAGCAAAAUCCCAAGGGGCUACUCCAUGCCAAGAAGGACUGUCUGGAGGAAGUAGAUUUCCAAAGCAAACCAAAGGUGUCACCCGGAAGGGGUGGAUUCUGCUGACCAGCCUCUGUAUGUCAUCUUGGGAGGUGCGAAACUUAAAGGAGGUGGUGAACGGUACCUUGACUGCUGCGCUGACCACAACAAAACAGUAGAAGUCAGUGCUGGCAGAGGCAGCUCAAGUUAGUCACUGUCCAGCAGAACAAGUGGGCGAAACUUGGAAGAUGAAUCCAAUAAAAAAGGUGUGCUCAUU
Long non-coding RNA from Rhincodon typus (whale shark), 2752 nucleotides. RefSeq lists it as uncharacterized. The transcript is spliced from 4 exons. The record is from RefSeq and is a predicted model, not a curated record. NCBI's taxonomy places the organism in Eukaryota, Metazoa, Chordata, Chondrichthyes, Orectolobiformes, Rhincodontidae.